GCGCACGUAGAAGCGGUAGCCGAUGGCCCGGCAGUUCAGCUCGCACUUCUGACUCCCCUUCACUGUGGACACAACGAAAGGCCCCGUUACAAAGAGCACAGCAGUAGAUUGGAAAAGGAAAGCUCCUUAAACGAGCGGUAAGGUCUGAGGGGAAGAAACAAAUAUGCGAACAAUGCGUUGUAAGUGACCACAUCAAGUGAAGGGCGAUGAAGAAACCCAUUCCAAGGCCUUCUAGAUCCCAGUGAAAGUUUUGUGCUACGUGGAGAUGAAAAAAUUACCUGCUGGAGCAUGGUAUUUUUUCCUGGAUCUCUCUCAUCCCUCACUUCUGCUGUGAUAGACUGAAAAAGAAUCUAAAUCAAAAAAAACAGUACUUUCAAAGAAACAUCCUUACCAAACCAGCCCUAAGUACCUCAGGAACAUGCUGGUCUUCUCCAAGACUUGAGAACUGGGGUUUUUUUCCCCCAAGUUCUCUGCUGAAACUUACCUUCCACCUUUCCCUAUGAGGAAUAAGAGCCAGACAUACUUCAGCAGGACCACAGCAUAGUUCUACUGCCUUCCACAUCCCCAAUAAGAACACCUCACAUCUUACAAACUGCACAUCACACAGCACACAUUACAGUGAAAACUUUCCACCAUUCUCCUAAGAUUGAUUUUACUGAUCAAACUUAAACCACAAAUAUCAACGCAUUUCAUUGCAGAUUUCAGUGCAAUAGAGGUUUGAGGAGAAAAAUUCAUCUGUCACAUCCACACAUUUUUAAGGGGCAAAAGAGUAAUUUAUGUGUUAUCACACUACAAGGAGUAGCUGGAGUUCAAACUGUGUCUCCAGCAGCAUUCCCGGCUGAGGCCUCGUCUCAGGCCCUGCAGAGGGGAUGGCAGCCGCCUGCCUGCUGGGAAGCACGAG
Passer domesticus (house sparrow) is the source of this 901-nucleotide long non-coding RNA. RefSeq lists it as uncharacterized. The record is from RefSeq and is a predicted model, not a curated record. NCBI's taxonomy places the organism in Eukaryota, Metazoa, Chordata, Aves, Passeriformes, Passeridae. The transcript is spliced from 3 exons.